UACAGAGGUCCCAAGCGUUGUUCGGAUUUACUGGGCGUAAAGGGUGCGUAGGCGGUGGGGUAAGUUUGAGGUGAAAGCUCCGGGCUCAACCCGGAAACUGCCUUGAAAACUAUCCGGCUAGAGGGUUGGAGGGGAGACUGGAAUUCUCGGUGUAGCAGUGAAAUGCGUAGAUAUCGUUUGGAACGCCAAAGGUGAAAACAGACAGCUGGGAGUGUGCUGACGCUGAGACACGAAAGCCAGGGGAGCGAACGGG
Molecule: ribosomal RNA, 253 nt
Filed under: uncultured bacterium
Lineage: Bacteria
Description: partial 16S ribosomal RNA
Rfam family: Bacterial small subunit ribosomal RNA
Source: RNAcentral